CCCUAUGGUUUCUUAAUUCUGAAGUGAAAGCCACGCUUUCCAAGGAAGGUCUUGGAAACUGGGGAACUUGAGUGCCACUUCAUUGUGGAAUUCCAGUGUGCGGUGAAAUGCGUAGAUAUUUGGAGGAACACCAGUGGCGAAGGCGACUUUCUGGUCUGUAACUGACACUGAGGCGCGAAAGCGUGGGGAGCAAACAGGAUUAGAUACCCUGGUAGUCCACGCCGUA
Molecule: ribosomal RNA, 226 nt
Filed under: uncultured Bacillus sp.
Lineage: Bacteria; Bacillati; Bacillota; Bacilli; Caryophanales; Bacillaceae
Description: partial 16S ribosomal RNA
Rfam family: Bacterial small subunit ribosomal RNA
Source: RNAcentral